RNAcentral lists this unclassified non-coding RNA (210 nucleotides) under Hevea brasiliensis (rubber tree). The record is from RNAcentral. Lineage: Eukaryota; Viridiplantae; Streptophyta; Magnoliopsida; Malpighiales; Euphorbiaceae.
GUUUUCACUGAUCAGAAGAAGAAAAGGCUUAUUAAGUUUGUGUACAAAAAAGAAAAAAGCCUCACUAAGAAUAUACUAAGCAUGAAAAUAUUAAACGAUUGGGUUUGGAAGAUUAAUGCAUCAGCUGAAACUACCUUCAAAAUGGUUUAAAAAAGAAACUACUACCUUUAACAGCCAUGAACUCAAUGAACAGCAAACAUAGAUAAUGUA